Molecule: ribosomal RNA, 429 nt
Filed under: Fusobacteriota bacterium
Lineage: Bacteria; Fusobacteriati; Fusobacteriota
Description: Fusobacteria bacterium partial 16S ribosomal RNA
Rfam family: Bacterial small subunit ribosomal RNA
Source: RNAcentral
UGGGGAAUAUUGCGCAAUGGGCGAAAGCCUGACGCAGCGACGCCGCGUGAGGGAUGAAGGUUUUCGGAUCGUAAACCUCUGUCUGAAGGGAAGAAACCGCACUGUGCUAAUCAGCAGUGCCUUGACGGUACCUUCAAAGGAAGCACCGGCUAACUCCGUGCCAGCAGCCGCGGUAAUACGGAGGGUGCAAGCGUUAAUCGGAAUUACUGGGCGUAAAGCGCACGUAGGCUGCUUUGUAAGUCAGGGGUGAAAUCCCACGGCUCAACCGUGGAACUGCCUUUUAUACUGCUUAGCUUGAAUCCGGGAGAGGGUGGCGGAAUUCCAGGUGUAGGAGUGAAAUCCGUAGAUAUCUGGAGGAACAUCAGUGGCGAAGGCGGCCACCUGGACCGGUAUUGACGCUGAGGUGCGAAAGCGUGGGGAGCAAACAGG